UGGGUAACACAAACACCCAGGCAGACUGAC
This 30-nucleotide non-coding RNA is filed under the name Mus musculus (house mouse). Lineage: Eukaryota; Metazoa; Chordata; Mammalia; Rodentia; Muridae. The record is from RNAcentral.